This 102-nucleotide small nuclear RNA is filed under the name Microcebus murinus (gray mouse lemur). The record is from RNAcentral. Lineage: Eukaryota; Metazoa; Chordata; Mammalia; Primates; Cheirogaleidae.
UUGCUUCAGUAGUACAUAUACUAAAUUGGAAGGAUACAGAGAAGAUUAGCAUGGCCCCUGCACAAGGCAGACACGCAAACUCAUGAAGUGUUCUAUAUUUUA